UACAGAGACCUCAAGCGUUAUCCGGAUUUAUUGGGCGUAAAGCGUCCGCAGACGGUUUGGUACGUCUUGCGUCAAAUGUUGUGGCUUAACCACGACACUGCGUGGGAUACGGCUAGACUCGAGGUUGGGAGAGGUAAGCGGAAUUGCCGGUGUAGUAGUAAAAUGCGUUAAUAUCGGCAAGAACACCAAUUGCGAAGGCAGCUUACUGGAACAAACCUGACGUUCAUGGACGAAAGCGUGGGGAGCGAAAGGG
This 253-nucleotide ribosomal RNA is filed under the name uncultured bacterium. RNAcentral's name for it is "partial 16S ribosomal RNA". It matches the Rfam family "Bacterial small subunit ribosomal RNA", at positions 524 to 776 of the family's 1533-position model. The record is from RNAcentral.